Molecule: ribosomal RNA, 437 nt
Filed under: uncultured bacterium
Lineage: Bacteria
Description: bacterial SSU rRNA
Rfam family: Bacterial small subunit ribosomal RNA
Source: RNAcentral
GCUAAACGCGAAGAACCUUACCAAGGCUUGACAUGGAUUUCUAAGCACGUGAAAGCGUGUGACCCUUCGGGGGACUUCCACAGGUGCUGCAUGGCCGUCGUCAGCUCGUGUCGUGAGAUGUUGGGUUAAGUCCCGCAACGAGCGCAACCCUUGUGAACAGUUGCCAGCGCGUCAUGGCGGGAACUCUGUUCAGACUGCCCAGAUCAACUGGGAGGAAGGUGGGGACGACGUCAGGUCAGUAUGGCCCUUACGCCUUGGGCUGCACACGUACUACAAUGCCCAGCACAAUGAGAACCGAUGCCGCGAGGUGGAGGAAAUCUGCAAAACUGGGCUCAGUUCGGAUUGGAGGCUGCAACUCGCCUCCAUGAAGUUGGAAUCGCUAGUAAUCGUGUAUCAGCAUGGCACGGUGAAUACGUUCCCGGGUCUUGUACACACCG